RNAcentral lists this ribosomal RNA (468 nucleotides) under uncultured bacterium. Its description in RNAcentral is "partial 16S ribosomal RNA". It matches the Rfam family "Bacterial small subunit ribosomal RNA", at positions 28 to 507 of the family's 1533-position model. The record is from RNAcentral.
GACGAACGCUGGCGGCGUGCUUAACACAUGCAAGUCGAACGGAAAGGCCCUGCUUGUGUGGGGUGCUCGAGGGGCGAACGGGUGAGUAACACGUGAGUAACCUGCCCUUGACUUUGGGAUAACUUCAGGAAACUGGGGCUAAUACCGGAUAGGAGCUCCUGCUGCAUGGUGGGGGUUGGAAAGUUUCGGCGGUUGGGGAUGGACUCGCGGCUUAUCAGCUUGUUGGUGGGGUAGUGGCUUACCAAGGCAUUGACGGGUAGCCGGCAUGAGAGGGUGACCGGCCACAUUAGGACUGAGAUACGGACCAGACUCCUACGGGAGGCAGCAGUGGGGAAUAUUGCACAAUGGGCGGAAGCCUGAUGCAGCAACGCCGCGUGCGGGAUGACGGCCUUCGGGUUGUAAACCGCUUUCGCCUGUGACGAAGCGUGAGUGACGGUAAUGGGUAAAGAAGCACCGGCUAACUACGUG